Alligator mississippiensis (American alligator) is the source of this 10306-nucleotide long non-coding RNA. RefSeq lists it as uncharacterized. The record is from RefSeq and is a predicted model, not a curated record. The transcript is spliced from 3 exons. Lineage: Eukaryota; Metazoa; Chordata; Crocodylia; Alligatoridae.
UCAACUGCAGGUGCUUCCUCAGCCUGACAAAGGAUUUUUCAACCUGAAACCUUGCUAAGAUAUACUUCUCUAACUAUUCAGUUUGGGUUUUUUUAAUAAUAAACAUAUAACCACAGAAACACAACAUAAUUCAUCACACACCACAAGUAACACAUUAUUUAUAUAUCCAACUCAACAUCUGUACUUCUUCCAUUCAAUUAUUUUAUAAAAAGAAAGGCUCUGUCACAGUUUGGCUGCCUGAGAUACUACUGGUGCUACUGCUCACUAAGUCAACAUUUGCGCCGCCGUUCACAUAAGGCGGGCGCGCGGUAGCGGCCUCCAACAACUGAGAGUAGUAGACUCAGCUCCGCGGACAUGGUGCAGAUGCGGAGCUCAUCUGCUAGGAGCCCCACCCCAGCAGUGCCACCUGCUGUGGGCUCUUCUGAGGCCUCCACCCAGACAGAGCUCCUGGUAGGGUCGGCAGACCCUUGUCCCCUGUCUGUGGGGGAGGCUUGGUGGGGUCCUGGCAGCCAGUGGGAGGCCCAACUUAGGGCUCUGGAGGAGCAGGUACGGGAGCUCCAGGCUUAGGUGAGCAGGCUGUGGAGGAUCAGGGCUGCAGAGAAUGAAAUUGACUCAUUGUGAUAGGUGGCCACUCUUGGCUGACCCAAAUGUGGCCCGCACGCCUGUUCCUGGGGCAACCGCCCGCCUACUCGUCUGCCACGCCUUGUUCUUAAUUGAUUAACUGGUGUUAAUUAGCAGGAGGCUGCCCUUGUACUGCCCCACUGCCAGGGGGCACUAUCUGCGGCUCCGUUUCCUCCCCUACACCGCAGUCCACACCUUGCCAAUGUUGACUCAGGUCUAUCACUAUUUUGGCCCCUUCCUGUUUUCUCUGGGCCUUCCUUCCUUGGAUGCACUCCCUGCGGUGCUAGGGCUCUCCCCUGCCCUAUCUCACUCUGUGCCCUCUUCUCCGGGGCCUUAUCUACAAUGCUGCCCCUGCUCUGGGGCCUUCUCAGUGAUGCUAUGCCCUCUCCUGGGGCUCACCAUGCCCGCCCUGGAGAUUCCCAAUAAUGCUGCCCUCUCCUGGGGCUCUCCUUGCCCACACUGGGGCUCCUUAAUAACGCUGCCCCUGUCUGGGGCUCACCGUGCCCAUAUUGGGGCUCCUUAACAAUGCUGCCCCCUAUCUGGGGCUCUCUGUGCCCACACUGGGGCUCCUUAACAAUGCUGCCCCCUAUCUGGGGCUCAACAUGCCCAACUUGGGCUGCCCAGUAAGGCUGCCCCCUAUCUGGGGUUCACCACGCCCACACUGGGGCUUCUCAAAUGCUCCUCUCUGGGCUGGGGUCUAUGUACCCCAUAUGCUGCACCCUUACUGGCACUGGGGUCCCCACGCUACUGUGGGUUCCCUAUGAGGCCUCCUUCAACCCCUAAUAGCCUCACCCAAACCACCGGUGUAACAAUAAAAUGAAACAGAAACUCGAGCCUCUUGGCUAUAACCUAAACAUAAGCUGCCUGGCUAUAACAACAUUGCUCAAGCAGCUUAGAGCUGCCAUAAGCUGUACCUGCAGUCAGGCUUCUUCCUGCACCCUGGCUUAAGGAGCUCCUGCCUCUCUGACUGCUGGCAGGGAACUGCCUCUGGCCUCCUGUCUGUGCUUUAUAUAGGAGCCAGGCCCUGCCCCUUUCAGUCAGCUGACCUCCUGGUUGCCCUGGCAACCCACAGCUGGGCUCCUUAUUCCCUGCUAGGGCUCUUUCCCUGGCAGUUUCCCCUCUCUAGGAGCAGGGCACCUCCGGGCUCUGUGAUACUCAUAUUUCUGUUCACUGCAGGACCAGUCAUCCAGGAGACAAGUUCAACACAGGAGUGGCAGAAAGUAUCCACCAGAUCCAGGCCUGCUCAAGCUAGCGUGGUGGAGGCUCCCCAGAUACAACUGAGGAACAGGUACGAGGCCCUAGAGAAGGAUGAAGGGGAUGCCUCCAGCGGGGACGAUGCCACUCUACGUACAACACAGAUGGCACAUAGAGGGAACAUCAGGAGAAGGAAACACUGGGUCCUCAUCAUUGGGGACUCCAUCCUAAGGGGAGUGGAGGGUCCCAUCUGCCAACCCGACCCCAUGGCAUGAGAAGUCUGCUUCAUGCCUGGGGCUCAGAUUCGAGACAUCACAGAGAGGAUCCCAGCCUACAUUCGACCCUCAGACGAGUACCCUAUGGUUCUUAUCCACAUGGGAACAAAUGAUGCGGCCAGUGGCAACCCAGACUGCAUCAUGAAGGACUUUGAGGCCCUGGGGGACAAGCUCAAGGAGAUGGGGGCACAGGUGGUAUUCUCCUCGAUUCUCCCGGUUGGCUGAUCUCAUGCAGCGCACUUUAAAGUAGCUUCAUCGGGGGAUGGGGUCACAGGAAGACGUGAGGACACCUCCCAACCAAGACAGGUGACAUACACAAGGAGUACCCAGAUGCAUCACAAGCAGGGCCAAGGAGGUGAUCCUCCCCCUCUAUGCUACACUGGUCAGGCCACAGCUGGAGUACUGCAUCCAGUUCUGGGCACCACACUUCAGGAGGGAUGUGGACAGCAUUGAGAGGGUCCAAAGGAGAGCCACUUGUAUGAUCCAGGGACAGCAGGGCAGACCCUAUGAGGAGCGGCUACGGGACCUUAACCUGUUCAGCCUUCACAAGAGAAGGCUGAGGGGGGACCUGGUGGCCAUCUAUAAACUUACUAGGGGGGACCAGUGAGGUUUGGGAGAGACCUUGUUCCCCUGAGCGCCUCCCAGAGUAACAAGGAAUAAUGGCCAUAAGUUCCUAGAGAGUAGGUUUAGACUGGACAUUAGAAGGCACUACUUCACAGUUAGGGUGGCUAGGAUCUGGAAUCAACUUCCAAGGGAAGUAGUGAUGGCUCCUACUCUAGGGGUCUUUAAGAGGAGGCUCGAUGUUUACUUGGCUGGGGUCAUUUGAGCUCAGUUUUCUCUCCUGCCCACAGCAGGGGUUUGGUCUAGAAGAUCUACAAGGUCCCUUUCGACCCUACAUCUAUGAAUCUAUUAAUCUAUUUUACUUGCUGUCAUCUAAAGUGGUGGACCGGAAUGAGGCUGUAGGGGAGGAGGAGACUGCAUUGGGGCACACUACCGUGUCGUGUAGGUGCCCCAGUACCAGUGAGGGUGCGCCUACACACACACACACACACACACACACAGAGUGAGGCUGUGCCUUAAUAUGCACACUGAAGAAGCAGCUCCUGCAGGACAGGAAAGAAAGCUUCUGUCAUAGUUUGGCUGCCUAAGAUGCUGCUGGUGCUACUGUGCUAGUGCACACUGCUCACUAUGUCAUUUUUUACCUGUUGUCAUCUAAAGUGGUGGACCAGACUGAGGUGGUAGGGGAGGAGGAGACCUCAUUGGGGCACACUACUUUGUCGUGUAAAGGCCCAAGCACCAGUGAGGACAUACCUUAACACGGACACAGUCACCCAUGUCAGGAGUUUUGCCUGUCAGCAACCUGAGGUGCAGUUUCCCUGAACCCCCUGCACCUAUCUCCUUGAAAGCUGGCAAGCUUUGUGGCCCCAGCAGGGACUACCACCCUGGUAGUUUUUAUCCCCCUGUGCCUUCACACAUACAAGUGACAUGAGUUUUGCUUUCAAGAAUUUGAAGUGCAGUUUCCCAGAACACCCUGCACCUAUCUCCUUGAAACUUGACAGGCUUCAUGGCCUCAGAAGGGGCUACCAUCUCUGUAAGCUGCAUCUGAAUCAGGCAAUAAAUGUCAAAGGUAUAAGCAGUUUUGUGCUUCCCCAUUAUAGCCUGUAGGUGAAACGUUGAAACAGCAUUGAAACAGUGUAACAGUUUUGAUUAAAUGAAAUGGAACAGUGGUAUGGAAACUAAAUGAAACUCAAAAUGAAACACUAUUCCAUCGAAAUGUCAAAAGGGAAGUUGAAACAGAAUGGUGCCAUUUCGCACAGCCCUACGAGAUAGUCCCCAGUAACCCUGGUUUCUGAUUGGGACUAUUGAAAAGUCUCAAUUUGCCAUGUGGAUCUUGGGGCCACCCCUGUCAGGUGGCCGAUGGCGGUUCCAGCAUCUGGCUGGUGGCCGGACAGAUGCCGUUCAUAGACAAAAAAAUUCUUCGGGGGCCGCCACUCUUACAAUUGGGCGGCUGGGCUCCCGAAAUUUACCAAAAAGAUUGCGGGGGACAACCAAAAGAAAAACAGGGUGUGCACGUGGGGGUCAAAGGUUCAAAACAAGUGCUCCCCCGGCGGUCAGUGAGCAGAGCACCCCGGACAGUGCCCACUGGCUCACAACUGGUUUCUGAUUGGGACUGGCCAGUACAUAACUACUUCCAGCUGGCCCAGUUGUCUAUAUGGGUAUGGCUGCAUACUUGUAAGCAGAAGCUUUUUCCACGCCCAUCAGGCUACCAGAACAGAUUCCUCCCUGUGAAGACCUGGGCUCCUGCCUGGAGCCCUCUAUUCCAUAAUUGUGGGUUCCUGACCUCCACCUUCCUCUUGACUUUAAUCCAGACCCCUGACUUCUGCUUUCUGGCUUAUGGCUUUACUUUGCCUCAGGGAGGGCCACCCUUAACUGUGGCCUAUAGGAAUUUUUUUCCAUUCCCUACCCUAGGCUUUGGAUCAAGGCCUUAAUGACUAGGUCUCAGAAAUGCCACUUUCAAAUUACAGUAAUGCAUAUCUGUUCUUAAUACAGAGAAUGUUUUUCACUAAGCAAGUGUUUCUAGACACAAAAUAAACAGCUUCCCCCUAACAGGUUUAUUGCCAAAAAUACCUUUUCUUCUUGGUGUGACAGCUGAAAAGUGUGCCUGUGUGAUAAAGGUGCUUGCUGAAGGCCCUAUGAAGUUUAGACCAAGUGUUUUUCUGUAUUUGUUUAGAUAUUAAGCUGUAUGUUGUUGCUAAAAGCCUAAUUAAAGUUUAAGAUGUAGUGAGGCCUUGUAUAAAGUAAGGCCUAGUAAAUUUAACAAGCCUUGAAGUAGAAAGGCCCUGUGGCGUACUUAAAUUACCUUAUCAAAAAAAUGCAAAGCUUGUACUGCUAUUGGUCAGUCUAAAGACAGUUGAAGUAAAAGGAAUCUGAGUAGUUGUACGUUAUCAGAACCAUUCAAAAAUUUUAAAUUAGCUGAAAUAUCUGGAAACCAUUCAGAAGCAAGAUACAGCUCUGUAAAAAAAAUUAGUUAGCUGUUGCCUGGAUCAGCGGGCCCGUGGACCUUGAAGAGCCCAAGGACUACAUUCCAGGGUCCUUCCCAGUACCUCUCGGACAACGUUGUUCAGGGAUGCCUGACUGCUAAACUUUAUAAAAAGAGAAGCUUGCCGUGUAUCAGGCAUCAGAGGGGACUGCUGCUAAGUUGCCAACGCGAAUUGCUUUUGUCUGUCAUUGUUUGUUUUGUUACUACGUGUAGUGUUUUUGUUAAGUAAAUAAAUAUUUCUUACCUUUCUACCCCCAACCAUACUCUCAAUCCCGAACCCUCCGCAGGUAGCUGGAACAUAAAUUGGCAUCACGAACAGGAUUGAGAGGCUCUGGUCUGGAGAGAAAGGUCUGAAUGAAGGGAGUUGUGCGGGCACCGUUAGUGGCUUUGCUUAAGGAAGUGACAGGGAUGAAGAAUCCUGGGUGGGAUAAGGAUAGGUUGAGACCUGCCUGGAGUGACCCAGAAACUGUACCCAAUCAUUGCGCUAGGUUUGCUACUGCUGCCCAGGGUAAGCCUAAGAAGGGGUGCCUGUCGUGGCUGCUGGCAACAUGCCUGCGGUUAGGGGCAGAAGAGGAUGCCCAGCUCCAGGAAGAGGUCACCUGACUGAGUAAGGAGUUAAAAGACAUGAGAAAUUCCAACAGCGUGGUGUGCAAGGCUGUGCGAGCUAUGCAGAGCUGCUUGGAAACAUUAAAAUGGAAGACAAAAAAAAUUAUAAUCCUGCGUGUGGCCGCUCCCCUCCAGAAGAGAGUGAAGUUAGGGCAGUCUGUGAAGCGAUCCUUCCACAAGUGUCUGUAUAGAGAUAAACCAGAAGUUAAGCUCUGGGAAAAUCAAAGAGAUAAAAUCAAUAGAAAGGUGGAGAUUUAUGAUGAGCCUGGCGCUAAAACACCCCCACAUGUUCCUGCCCAGAGGGAGGAACCUAGCCAAGCCUUCCCCGCCCCUAGGGAGAAACUCAACCAAGUUUUUCCCAUAGUGAUAACUCAUUCAAGACCACAAAGAGAGAAUCCCCGAACAGAGCUACAUUCCUUUACCCAUGCAGAAAUUAAAAAUAUUCAAAAGCAGCAUGAAUUCAAACCAGAAAAGCCAGUAAUAGACUGGCUAGUUCAAAUGUAUAGUAAAAAAGCAUUUGCAAUUUCAGUGAAUAGAGCCGAAGCUACAAAAAUCAUUCUGUGCCCUGAGCUCCAGUUAAAUCAGUUUGCAGAAAGUGAUGAAAAUGUUACUUUGUUUUCUGCUGCGCUCCAAGCCACUGCAGCCACUUAUAGUAAUAUCAUUCAUGCAGCAGUUUAGACUCACACGCCAGAUGCAAAAGUAGUGACAGCACCGUUGUGGAGGUUUUGCCGACAAGCACCAACAGAGUGCACCUCAACCUUGUUGACCUUGAAGCCAGAGGCAGUGAAUCACCCGGUAAAAGAUGUGAUCCAGCAAUUAGUGCAGCUUUUACCCAUUUUGCAGAAACCAAGGCUUACCAAGCUGACAAAAACUGCCAAGGCCAUGGCAGUGGCCUCAGUAAAAGAUGACCCCCCUGACCCCCCCAAAUUGUUAAGAAAAGUGGAAAAAGACUGACCCAAGACUCCGGAACCACAAUGUAAAAAGACUUGUCAGCUGCCUGUUUCAAUAAAGUGCAAAUCAAUAGACUGCCCAUCAAUGUCUUGAGAGGGCUGAGGGCUAAACACUGUACCAAAAGGGCAAAACCAAAAGCAGAGCCUUUUGUGCCACCAACAGUGUCACCAAAAAGAUUCUCUGUCUUGAGAGCAAAACUGUCAACAUUUUCCCAAGCACAUGUGGGGCCAGCGGCCUUUACCCCGCCUGAUCACGUGGCCUAGGGAGUCCGGCCAGCCCAACCCCCCAAAAAAGAAGCCACAAUGGGGGCAAUAGCGGAUCAAGGACUGGUAUCUAAAGUUAAUGUUAAACCCUUAAUUCAGAUACCUGUACAAAUUCAAUUAAGUAAAAGUAAAAGGUCAAUAGAUAUGCUAUUAAACACGGGUACCCAGAUUUGCAUUUUAGAUUCCAUAAAUUGAAAGGGAGAAAAAGAAACCCCUUAUCAAGUAAUUAAAGUCAGAGAUACCAAACGACCGAGACAUCUGGUCCAAGUAACCUUCACGUUACCUAAAACUAAGGUAACAGCAGCCGCAGUAAUACUUAAAGGGAAACCAAGCUUACUAAAACUUAAUGUACUAAGAGGACAGCAGUUUGCCCUUAAACAAGAAAAUUGGCAGUUUAAGUGCAUAGUGCCUCACCAAAAACCAGAAAAAACAGCUAUAACAGCUGUAACUCGAUGUGGCAUGAUCCCACUAACCCUGCCUCUCAUGAAAAGAGUACACAGACUCCAAUAUCAAACUCCCCCUGAGGCCACACAACCUAUUCAGUGUAUUAUAAGCCAGCAGUUAAAAGAUGAGACUACUAUUCAAACCCACUCUCCGUAUAACAAUCCAGUGUAGCCAGUGCACAAGCCAAAUAGAGGGUGGCAAUUGAUUAUUAACUUUUAAGCUCUGAAUACUAAUACUAAUCCCUUGAUGACUGCCAUCCCAUCACUACCAGCCUAACAGAAAGCAUCCAGAGUUAUAAGCCUGCAUGGAUAAAAUCCAUUAAUAUCAAAGACAUGUUGUGACACUAUGUGUUUGUAGCUGUAAAAGUUGCCACAAAAAUAACAUUCACCUGUGCCUUAGCAAGAACUAUAGCUCAGGACACUUGUGCAAUACUGGAAACUCUGCUAGCUGUGUAACCACCACCUAUAAAACUACAAAAUAAUAAUAGCCCUCACUUCCGCAAUCAUCUUGUGUAUGACUAAACCAUGAAACAUAGCAUGUUCUAGACAUAUGACAGCCCAUACCAUCCGCAGUUUAAUAAAUUAGUAAAACAAGCCAAUGACAUCCUCAAAUGCAAUUUGCGGGUAGCCGCUGACCCGGCUCUUAAACACUGAGACUUGCACCUGAAUCGAGCUAUCAAUUGAGCCAAUAACCGACCCCAUCCAGGAGGUAGCCCCAUGCAACAGGCCUUUGGAUUGGGCAGUCCCUGGGAGCCGGCAGUAGAGCAACCUAGGGGUGGUGACCCAGGAAAGCUCCAGGCAGGAGAUCGAGUAGUAGUGAAGCAUCCUCAAGGAGAUAUAUGGGAGGGGACACUAUUAGCAAAAAAUAUGCAUAAUACAUAGUGAAUAUUUAAGUCAAAUUUAUCUAAAGGGAGCCAAGCUUCUUGUUGUCUUGUUCCUACAGAUUAAAUUUGUCCACAAGUGCAACCAUAGCCAUUUCUAAUUGAGCCUGCCACUAAAGACAAAUCCUGCUCUGUCACCAGUCUAAAUUGACUGGCACCAUGAAAUGGUAAACUGUUAUGAAUGCACUCUUUUUAUUAAUGCCUUAUUGUGUUUCCUGGGUAGGGUGUGUCUAUUAUCCUUCUUAUUACACAGAUAUUAAUGAACUUGCUCCUAAAGACCUCAGAGAGUAGCCUAACCCUGAAGACCAUCCCCCGGAAACACGUUCAGAUGGCCUUCACGUGGUCCAGCUGCAGUAUUCAUACUGGAAAAAAACCCACCACCCCGGAGCAAGUAAAGUCUUGGUCUCUGAGUAAAAGAAACAAAAUAGUUGACUAGCAAGGUGGUAACUGUCAGUGCACCUGUGGCACCAGUUAUUAUCUUGGGUUCAUUCCCUACCUGAAGGCUGGAAUGGCUAACUGUGGGAGGGAAAGUGAUUGUUGUAGCUCUGCUCGUUUAAAAAUUUGUUGUUACAUACUUCCUAAGGAGAACCCCAUUGAGCUCAACGCCCCUGAGUUUGUGUCCCCAAUAGUACAUUCUGCAUCUGUUCAGCCUCUCGAACCACUGCGCUUAUAAGAAAAUCUGCCCCCUCCCAUGCCUAUGGCUGACAACACUCUCCAUCAGUGGUAUAAAACCCACCAGGUGAGACAGCGCAUUACAAGUUAGAACAAAGUUAUUAAAUGGUUUGUGAAUCAUACCUAUACAGAAGCGUAGUAAAAUGGUACCACCUAAACUUUAUGCAAUUCGUGUUGCUUAAGAGCUAAAAGUGGAGCCGUUGCUCUACUGCAAUUAAGUAACUGUACUAUUGCCCUAAAAUAGCCAAAAAUUUCCUCUAAGACUAUAUCUCUCAACUUCACGAUACCUACUUCAUAGGUAUCAAAUGUAGACAUGCCACAGUUAAAAAACUAAAAUAAAGUGAAAAAUAAGCUGCAAAGCCUUGAGGCAAAAGCUCAGCAAGGCACUCAGGUCUCCUCGCUCGAGAGGGUGGUCGAAUCAUCAGUCUAGCUGUCAACGUGCCCAAGCCUUGUAAAUGGUAUGAUGUAAUCUAUACUAUUCGUGCGUCACCAAGUGUCACCUCAACUACGUGGCUAACCAUCUUAAACAUCAUAGUAUUUUGCAUUGCCCUAGUAACAACAGCUAAAUAGUGUUUUAAUCGUUGUUGUAAAUCUGUUCAUGCUAUGCAAGUUAAAUUUAUACAUCCCUCCCCAUUUCCCAAUGUAGCGCAUGUAGCUUUAGCAUCUCAGUUGUAGCUAUCAUAGUGCUUCAGCAAGGAAAGAAUGGAGUGUGACAGCUGAAAAGUAUGCCUGUGUGAUAAAGGUGCUUGCUGAAGGCCCUAUGAAGAUUAGACCAAGUGUUUUUCUGUAUUUGUUUAGAUAUUAAGCUAUAUGUUGUUGCUAAAAGCCUAAUUAAGAUGUAGUGAGGCCUUGUAUAAAGUAAGGCCUAGUAAAUUUAACAAAGCCUUAAAGUAGUAAGGCCCUGUGGUGUAGUUAAAAUUACCUUAUCAAAAAAAUGCAAAGCUUGUACUGCUAUUGGUCAGUCUAAAGACAGUUGAAGUAAAAGGAAUCUGAGUAGUUUUACAUUAUCAGAACCAUUCAAAAACUUUAAAUUAGCUGAAAUGUCUGGAAACCUUUCAGAAAAAAAAGAUACAGCUUUGUAAAAAAUAUUAGUUAGCUGUUGCCUAGAUCAGUAGACCCGUGGACCUCAAAGAGCCCAAGGACUACAUUCCAGGGUCCUUCCCAGUACCCCUCAGACAACAUUGUUCAUGGAUGCCUGACUUCACUAAACUUUAUAAAAAGAGAAGCUUGCUAUGUAUCAAGCAUCAGAGGAGACUGACGAUAACUUGCCAACAUGAAUUGCUUUUGUCUGUCGUUGUUUGUUUUGUUACUACGCGUAGUUGUGUUUUUGUUAAGUCAAUAAAUCUUUCUUACCUUUCUA